UCGGGAAUUUUGGGCAAUGGGGGAAACCCUGACCCAGCAACGCCGCGUGAAGGAUGAAGUAUUUCGGUAUGUAAACUUCGAAAGAAUAGGAAGAAUAAAUGACGGUACUAUUUAUAAGGUCCGGCUAACUACGUGCCAGCAGCCGCGGUAAUACGUAGGGACCAAGCGUUGUUCGGAUUUACUGGGCGUAAAGGGCGCGUAGGCGGCAAUUCAAGUCAUCUGUGAAAUCUCCGGGCUUAACUCGGAACGGUCAGAUGAUACUGCUUUGCUAGAGUGCAGAAGGGGCAAUCGGAAUUCUUGGUGUAGCGGUGAAAUGCGUAGAUAUCAAGAGGAACACCUGAGGUGAAGACGGGUUGCUGGGCUGACACUGACGCUGAGGCGCGAAAGCCAGGGGAGCAAACGGGAUUAGAUACCCUCGUAGUCCCUGAGCGGGCUGGCAAGGCGCAU
This 447-nucleotide ribosomal RNA is filed under the name uncultured bacterium. Its description in RNAcentral is "bacterial SSU rRNA". It matches the Rfam family "Bacterial small subunit ribosomal RNA", at positions 355 to 825 of the family's 1533-position model. The record is from RNAcentral.